Molecule: ribosomal RNA, 493 nt
Filed under: uncultured bacterium
Lineage: Bacteria
Description: partial 16S ribosomal RNA
Rfam family: Bacterial small subunit ribosomal RNA
Source: RNAcentral
GAGUGAACGCUGGCGGUAGGCCUAACACAUGCAAGUCGAACGGCAGCCCAGUAAGAGCUUGCUCUUACGGGUGGCGAGUGGCGGACGGGUGAGGAAUACAUCGGAAUCUACUUUUUCGUGGGGGAUAACGUAGGGAAACUUACGCUAAUACCGCAUACGACCUACGGGUGAAAGCAGGGGAUCUUCGGACCUUGCGCGAUUGAAUGAGCCGAUGUCGGAUUAGCUAGUUGGCGGGGUAAAGGCCCACCAAGGCGACGAUCCGUAGCUGGUCUGAGAGGAUGAUCAGCCACACUGGAACGGAGACACGGUCCAGACUCCUACGGGAGGCAGCAGUGGGGAAUAUUGGACAAUGGGCGCAAGCCUGAUCCAGCCAUACCGCGUGGGUGAAGAAGGCCUUCGGGUUGUAAAGCCCUUUUGUUGGGAAAGAAAAGCAGCAGGUUAAUACCCCGCUGUUCUGACGGUACCCAAAGAAUAAGCACCGGCUAACUUCGUG